UCCAAAGUGUGCCAUGAAAAUUUCUUCGCCGCGGUCACGAGCAAAGUUUCCCAAGCAGGUCCUCGGAAAACAACCAGAACCAGGUGCGUGCCGGAACCAGGGUUUAAUCCGUCGGUUCCCCACACGAUUGUGUUGAAGUUUUUGUUUUGAUAUGUUCCGAAAUUGAAUGCCGGAUUUGAACAUCUCAUGGCUUGACCAACGUCUGCUAAAUGGGAACCACCCAACCAACCCAGAAUGCGCGGAGUGCACCGGUUCCACGGAUUGCUCAGAACUUGAGUCGGUUCUGUUGAUAGCAAUGACCGAAGGUGUUUUAUCCUUUCAAGUCGAAGUCACGGAAUUCAAGAUCCGCCAGUUACAAACCGGGAAAAUGGCCAUGGAACCGCUUUUACGAAAAAACGCUUUUCCUUUUCGUCAGAUUGGUGACCAGAUUCACCUUGAGAUCGGAAACGGCCACUCGACCGGACCGGACAGAAACCGUGGAACGUUUUUGCUUAAUGGCAGAUUCCGGAAGAAGAAUUCGUUUAUUGAAGUGUAUUUACUGUAAAUUGAUGAAUAAAACUAGUUUUUUUGGCUGUUUUUUUAUUGCGGUAAAAAAAUACAAAAUAG
Long non-coding RNA from Culex quinquefasciatus (southern house mosquito), 606 nucleotides. RefSeq lists it as uncharacterized. Lineage: Eukaryota; Metazoa; Arthropoda; Insecta; Diptera; Culicidae. The transcript has 3 exons. The record is from RefSeq and is a predicted model, not a curated record.